AUGAAACGUGCAACUGGUGCACUUGGCUGGCUUCAACAGACCUUGUACCAGACCUUGGGCAAGAAUCAUAAAGGUAAGCAUAAGGGAAGACUGUCUUUUAACAUCCCAUAUAGUCUGGUUGCAUGCUGCAUCCUUCUGACUUUUUACUGAAUUUACGCUUUGCCUUGUGUAAUGUUUAUCAUGAAAAGAUUUUCUAAGCUUGGCUAAGCAGAAAGACUUUUCAAGAGGAAGAAUGGCUGGUUCAUGCUUGAGACGGCUGCCUGUUAAAUGUUACAUUAAUGAUAAGAUCCUGAAAGAGCUGGUCGGGGGUGAGCUUUUUCUUUCCUUUUCUACACUAUCUUUU
Molecule: long non-coding RNA, 343 nt
Filed under: Anas platyrhynchos platyrhynchos (common mallard)
Lineage: Eukaryota; Metazoa; Chordata; Aves; Anseriformes; Anatidae
Description: lncRNA (ENSAPLG00000024456.1)
Source: RNAcentral